GUCUACAGCCAUAUCAUCCCGAAUGUGCCGAAUCUCGUCUGAUCUCAGAAGCUAAGCAGGUUUGGACCUGGUUAGUACUUGGAUGGGAGACCACCUAGGAAGACCAGGUGCUGUAGGAG
This 119-nucleotide ribosomal RNA is filed under the name Pteropus alecto (black flying fox). Lineage: Eukaryota; Metazoa; Chordata; Mammalia; Chiroptera; Pteropodidae. The record is from RNAcentral.